This 1793-nucleotide small RNA is filed under the name Pongo abelii (Sumatran orangutan). RNAcentral describes it as "processed transcript". The record is from RNAcentral. Lineage: Eukaryota; Metazoa; Chordata; Mammalia; Primates; Hominidae.
CCGGUAGGUCGCCCGCUGAGGCGGUUUGUAAGUUUUGGGUCGCAGUAUGCUAGAAUUUUGAGGCUCCCUUCCGAUGAAAAUUGAGCUGUCCAUGCAGCCAUGGAACCCAGGUUACAGCAGUGAGGGGGCCACGGCUCAAGGCCAGGCGCAGUGGCUCACGCCUGUAAUCCCAGCACUUUGAGAGGCCGAGGCGGGCAGAUCAUGAGGUCAGGAGAUCAAGACCAUCCUGGCUAACACGAAACUUACACAUGUCCAAAAAUGAUUGAGAUAGAGCAGGCGGAGGCCCAGCUUUCCGAGUUAGACCUGCUAGCCAGUAUGUUCCCUGGUGAGAAUGAGCUCAUAGUGAAUGACCAGCUGGCUGUAGCAGAACUGAAAGAUUGUAUUGAAAAGAAGACAAUGGAGGGGCGAUCUUCAAAAGUCUACUUUACUAUCAAUAUGAACCUGGAUGUAUCUGAGGAAAAAAUGGCGAUGUUUUCUCUGGCCUGUAUUCUUCCCUUUAAAUACCCGGCAGUUCUGCCUGAAAUUACUGUCAGAUCAGCAUUAUUGAGUAGAUCCCAGCAGACUCAGCUGAACACAGAUCUGACUGCAUUCCUGCAAAAACAUUGUCAUGGAGAUGUUUGUAUACUGAAUGCCACAGAGUGGGUUAGAGAACACGCCUCUGGCUAUGUCAGCAGAGAUACUUCAUCUUCACCCACUACAGGAAACACAGUCCAGUCAGUUGACCUCAUCUUCACAAGACUCUGGAUCUACAGCCAUCAUAUCUAUAACAAAUGCAAAAGAAAGAAUAUUCUAGAGUGGGCAAAGGAGCUUUCCCUGUCUGGGUUUAGCAUGCCUGGAAAACCUGGUGUUGUUUGUGUGGAAGGCCCACAAAGUGCCUGUGAAGAAUUCUGGUCAAGACUCAGAAAAUUAAACUGGAAGAGAAUUUUAAUUCGCCAUCAAGAAGACAUUCCUUUUGAUGGUACAAAUGAUGAAAUGGAAAGACAAAGGAAAUUUUCCAUUUUUGAAGAAAAAGUGUUCAUUGUUAAUGGAGCCAGGGGAAACCACAUGGACUUUGGUCAGCUCUAUCAGUUCUUAAAUACCAAAGGAUGUGGGGAUGUUUUCCAGAUGUUCUUUGGUGUAGAAGGACAAUGACAGCAAGAGUAGUUGAAAGUAUCUUGCCACUGUUGGCCUUUUGAUUUUUUUUCCCACUUUUUCUUGAAAGAUUAAGUAAUUUUAUUUUAGUUCCAUUCUGGAAUGUUGGGGAGUGGGGGACAAGAAAAAAUAGUAUAGCUGAAAGGCAUCUGUUAAAAAUGUCAUGAUUGAAAGCAGAACUGAGUUUCAAAUUACAACCUUAAAAUUGUUGUUAGAUAUUUCUUCACAUAUUGGCUGCCCAUUUUGAAAAAGAAAUUAUCCACAAAGGUAAUGUUGGUGCUCCAAUUUGCCAGCCAUUCCCAACCCCCUUCUCCCUUACCUGCCUUCACUAAAGAACCCAGAAAAGCUAAUUGCUCCCCUUUCAGCCUCUGUUGCAACUAACAACUCUCAGUGGCCUCAGGACACAGCUUUGGCCUUGGGAAUUCUGGGAAAACUUUUACUUCCUGAUUAAAGAUACAUAUGAAGCUAGGCCACCUCCUCCUCCUCUUACUGCCAUAAACACCUAAGUGAUGACUGGAGCUGGAGGAGUUAUUUGAACGAUGACAGAAGGAAGGGCCAAGAGAACCACGAAGAUGCCAGUUGCCAUAUUGUUGAGCUGCUGACCCAACACCAGCCGUUGCCUAUCUCUAAACGUCUUAUGAAAUAAAACCAGUUUUGUUUAA